RNAcentral lists this ribosomal RNA (253 nucleotides) under uncultured bacterium. RNAcentral's name for it is "partial 16S ribosomal RNA". It matches the Rfam family "Bacterial small subunit ribosomal RNA", at positions 524 to 776 of the family's 1533-position model. The record is from RNAcentral.
UACAGAGGUCUCAAGCGUUGUUCGGAUUCAUUGGGCGUAAAGGGUGCGUAGGUGGCGUGGUAAGUCGGGUGUGAAAUUUCGGAGCUUAACUCCGAAACUGCAUUCGAUACUGCUGUGCUUGAGGACUGGAGAGGAGACUGGAAUUUACGGUGUAGCAGUGAAAUGCGUAGGGAUCGUAAGGAAGACCAGUGGCGAAGGCGGGUCUCUGGACAGUUCCUGACACUGAGGCACGAAGGCCAGGGGAGCAAACGGG